Drosophila subobscura is the source of this 1011-nucleotide long non-coding RNA. RefSeq lists it as uncharacterized. NCBI's taxonomy places the organism in Eukaryota, Metazoa, Arthropoda, Insecta, Diptera, Drosophilidae. The record is from RefSeq and is a predicted model, not a curated record. The transcript is spliced from 4 exons.
CGGUCACACUGCAGAAAGAGCACGCCGCAAUACUUAAUGUACAAAGUUUCAACUUUAUUGUAAAAGCAAAAGCAAAAGGACAAUUUACCAUCAAAUACUUAAGUAAACCGAUGAACAGUCUCGGAGGAUGCCGCUGCAUGUCAAUUGCAAUACGAUUACCAGGCGGAAGGCGACUAACAGACUGCAUGCCAAGUAUUCUGUCCAACAUGCGAAUUAGAUUCUUGUGCGGCUAGACACGUGACGAUUAUGUUCCAGAUGAGGAUGAACAGACGCGCAUUGAUUCGGACUCGCGACACGCUGAGCAUUUGGCCAAUGAAGAGGCUGCCAGCAAUGUGUAGAAAGAUUGCAUCCUGCAUAUCCCGGAAACCGAUGCCAAUUGGCUGCAGUGUUUUCUGAGCAAGAUCUUCAAGAGACCAUGAUGUCGCAGAGCAAGUCUGCCGAUGGACUCACGAUCGGGUCUGCUUUAGCAACUGCAUCCCAUCAAUAAGCGAUGCCAGCAAGCAGACAGCGACCCAGGACAUAAGCAAGGAUUCGUACCAGCGACAUUUGCCGCAAUUUGGUGUCGAUGUCAAGAGAUCCUGUGAGACGAAAAUCGUAACCGUUUUCGUAUUCACAGAGCUGAAGGAUGAGGAUCGCACGCUUCUAUUGCCGCUCUGCUAUACACAGAUGGCCGAUGGGGCCCAUUGAACUCAACUAUGUGGGGAUCCAGCUGGAGCGUGAAUGCCGCCAGUGACUGCAACCUUUUUCCUGCGGAAGAUCGAGGAAGGCUGGCGUGUCGUUGUUCCCGGCAAACAAGACUUUACAUUGUCCAACAUAAGCGACUCUUACGUGGGCUGCGAUCAGGAGUAGAAGGACUACAAGGAUCAGGAGUCAAAGUGGCCGAUUUCCAAUCUGACAGUCAGACCGAGUCGGAUUAGGGCGCAGGCUAAGAUUAGUAUACAUAGCAAAUACUUCCUUUUUGUAAAAAUAUGAAAUUAACCUAGUUUUUGUACUAAUAAAACAUGUAGCACA